This is a long non-coding RNA of Mustela erminea (ermine), 1809 nucleotides long. RefSeq lists it as uncharacterized. The transcript has 6 exons. NCBI's taxonomy places the organism in Eukaryota, Metazoa, Chordata, Mammalia, Carnivora, Mustelidae. The record is from RefSeq and is a predicted model, not a curated record.
CGCGCUCCGAGCUCAGGGAGCCUGCGACCAGUUCAAGUUCCCCACUGAUGACUGGGUCAGAAGCAGAUGACCCUCCUUCUGACCUAUCAUCAGAAAGUCAGGGGGUGCCUGGCUGGCUCAGUCCAUGGAGCGUGCAACUCUGGAUCUCGGGGUUGUGAGGUCGAGCACCACAUCAGAGAUGACCUCUGUCUCCAGCUCCCCAAGCCCUUUGAAGCAAAUGAUAAUACACCACUUUCCUUUGCAUGCUUGACUGCUCUCUCUAAAAGUGGGAAAAGUAGCAACUUCAGCUAGAAGGUGCCGAUCCUAAGAGCAUUCUAACAAAUGUUCUACACUCGUAAGUCCAUCUCAGAUUGCGCUUCUUGAAAAGCCACCUACGACACCUUCUCGAUCACAAAUGGAAAUCUUUGAUGAUGUACUUUUGAGUAUGGUUCAUGCUGGAAAGAAAAAGGAUGGAUUCAAACUAAAAAAAAGAAAAAAAAUUGGCCCAACAUCAGAAGAUUGGAAAAUGAAUAUACAUUUAUAUGUUUUGAGUUAGAACAAAAUAUUCAAGAUGACCCUUGGCACCAAUUAGCUACUGUCAUCCGUGUGGAAGGAAGUCUGCUCUGUAAAAUCAUUGGAUCCUAUUUAUGUUGAGUACAACUGACCUUCAGGAGAAAUGUUUCCGAAGAGACAAGAAACUGUCUUCUGGUUUUGGCUCUGUUGGCUGUGCACACCUGUUUUGCUCACUCAUUGAAUUCUGUUGGAACAUUGGAACUCUACCUUUUUGGAGCUCUGGCAGAGAUCUCAAAGGAAGGAAAUUUGGCAGGGUGGAGAAAAACGUGGGUUUUGAAGAUGGGAAGACCUGGUUUUUGAUGUUGUCUCUGCUAGGUACAUCACAAGAGUGUUAGUGAUGAGUAGAAUUAGUGAUGAUGUGUGAUGUGUCCGGCAACUUUUUUUUUUAGCAUGAGGUAGAAGCCCAAUAGGAGGUAGCUAUUAUGAAAAAUAGUCUCAUUUCUCCCAUUUCACCUCCCUGAUCUUGCAGUUUUAGCUCCAUUCAUUCAGAAGUCAUAAGUGGCUUGAUUAUCUCUCAUUUCCCUCAUUUGACUGUGGCUGUGGGAGAAUGAAUGGACAAUGGAAAAGGGUGAGAAAAACUGUGAAGGACAAUGGGAUAGUAGCAGACUCUUAGCGGUAUAUUCGUUAAGACAGACUUUUCGAAGGCUUCUCACAUAGGGAAGUAUGUUUAAUUUAACCCAGCAAACACUUGUGUUCCUCAUACAUUUAUUAUUCUGAUCACAUGGAUAAGGGGUCACCAUGAUUAUCACAAGCUUGGGUGAAGCUUUCCUAUGCUGCUUUGAGGAAGGAGCCUUGACCUGGUUAAAGUGAAUCUACUUUGAUAAAUCAAAAACAUUUAUUAAAAAAGAUACUCUACUUCCAAGGAUCUUUUCCAUCAACUUGCUUUUCUUGGUUGCCUAUCACAUGGCUACAUCAUUUUUAGACACCAAAUGAAAAGCAUGUGUAACAGAGCACAGAACUGCACUUCUGGUCCAUGUUACCAUGGGUAACGUCCAAUAUGAAAAAUGGGCUUUCUUGCAGUAGAACACACCACUUUAAUUAUUACAUGCAGUAUGGAAACAUGAAUAUUUAUACAAUUAGAAACUUGGAAACAUUGCACAAAUUCUUUCUAGUUGGACCCUUACAUAGACACUUUCCUCGCAAUCUGCUCUAUAAACGUAGACCAAAGAUGAAAUAUUGUGGCAGCCCUAAAUUCACUGGUUCUAGAAAGAAAUGCUAUAAAAUUGGUCCCAUGAAAUAAAAUUGUUAGCACAGAGU